ACGAACGCUGGCGGCAGGCUUAACACAUGCAAGUCGAACGCCCCGCAAGGGGAGUGGCAGACGGGUGAGUAACGCGUGGGAAUCUACCUAGUUCUACGGAACAACACAGGGAAACUUGUGCUAAUACCGUAUACGCCCUACGGGGGAAAGAUUUAUCGGAAUUAGAUGAGCCCGCGUAAGAUUAGCUAGUUGGUGGGGUAAUGGCCUACCAAGGCGACGAUCUUUAGCUGGUCUGAGAGGAUGAUCAGCCACACUGGGACUGAGACACGGCCCAGACUCCUACGGGAGGCAGCAGUGGGGAAUAUUGGACAAUGGGCGCAAGCCUGAUCCAGCCAUGCCGCGUGAGUGAUGAAGGCCUUAGGGUUGUAAAGCUCUUUCAGUGGGGACGAUAAUGACGGUACCCACAGAAGAAGCCCCGGCUAACUUCGU
RNAcentral lists this ribosomal RNA (429 nucleotides) under uncultured bacterium. RNAcentral's name for it is "bacterial SSU rRNA". It matches the Rfam family "Bacterial small subunit ribosomal RNA", at positions 29 to 506 of the family's 1533-position model. The record is from RNAcentral.